Molecule: small nucleolar RNA, 190 nt
Organism: Myotis lucifugus (little brown bat)
Lineage: Eukaryota; Metazoa; Chordata; Mammalia; Chiroptera; Vespertilionidae
Source: Ensembl
GCUCAGGGUGGUUUAAGAAGGGAUACAGGUGGUGAUGGCGGCUGUGGACUCACCUGCCUGGGUAUGAAUCUCAGUGCCUCCAUUUAUUACCUGUGUGACUUUGGGCAAGUUACCUGACCUCUCUGUGCCUCAUUCCCUCAUGUGUAUAAUGGGGAUAAAAGUAUCUACCUCAGAGUGGUGAGGAUCAAAU